ACAGGCAGGGGGAAUGGGGAGGGGACGGUAGCGUCAGCCUACACCCACACGCAGUUUCCUGAUAAAAGGUCCUUUGGAAACUUUGAUUCUCUUCUCACCAAGUUGAACGGAGAUGUGUUCCCAUAGUAAGAGUGAGGCCCCUGCAUUUGCUGCCCUCGGUUUUCCCAACUAACACCAGGGCCUCCCCCCUGUACCCCAUUCAUAUGCCUCAGAAGCUGACAAUGACUGUUGGGCUUUUCCAAUGAAUACCAGAACACCAUUUCCUGCAGCCUGAAAAGAAGACAGUAUAAUUGUUUGGCAGCAAGAGGUGCCCUUCCAUGAGAAGCCCAAGCCAUGUGGAGAAGCCACGUCUAGGGACUCCAGUUAACACUCUCAGCUGAGUCCCCAGCUGACAGUCAGCAUCAACUGCCAGCCACCUCUGUCUAAAAGUGGGCUAUCUUGGGCAUCCAGCCCAGUCAAGCCUUCAGAUGAGUCCAGUCCCAGCCACUAUCUCACACAACCACACGAGAGACAUCAAGAACUCCCAGUGGAGUCCAGUCAGCCCAUGGAACUGCAAGAGACAGGAUCUCGCUGCGUUGCUCAGACUGGUCUCGAACUCCUGGGCUUAAGGGAUUCUCCUGCCUCAAUCACAGCCUCCCAAGUAGCUGAGAUUAAAAGUGCUCACCACCGUGCCAGCGAGUUCAGUUUUUGAGUGUCCUCCGACACUGACUCUGUGCUUGGCCCUGUGACUUGCUUUGGCCAAUGGUACAGCAGCAAACUUGAUGCAAACACAACUUGAAAAAGAAGAGGACAGCCAAGUCAUCCCAGCCAAGGCCACCCUGGACCAGCCAGCCUCUUGCCAAGCUGCCAGUGACCACAGAGUCCAAUUAACAACAGCCAGUCCUGGCCCAGGCCAAGCUCAUAUGCCAAUUUCCUCAUGGAACCUUUCACUCCUCCAUCUCUUCGCCAAGUUGAAAUGUUAACUUCUGCUUCUCUGGGAUACUUCGGACCUUUGUUUAAAGCUCUCCCAUCUGCUUUCUGCGCUAUGUUUAGGGUUAUGUCUGGAUGGGAAUAGGUCUGUCUCUUGCCACUACUGGUAAAAUUGGUUCUUGCUUAGCAUGAUGUGGGCUCCCCACAUCUGGCACAGUGACUUGCGCAGGGUGGAGCCAAGACUCUGAGGAGAGGGCUGAACUGUGAACCUAGAAGUACCAUCUCCCCCUGCACACACCUUUGGUCAAGUUGACCCCAAGAAGAAGGACAAGUCCUCUGCACGGCGAUGAGGCCAUACACACAGUCUGUGGCCCGGCUUUGGGAGACUGAUGGGACAAAGGAUGUUUUGCACGAUCCUUGGUCUCUGAGCAAAUAUAUACAUGGGUUAACACA
RNAcentral lists this long non-coding RNA (1362 nucleotides) under Homo sapiens (human). RNAcentral describes it as "novel transcript". Lineage: Eukaryota; Metazoa; Chordata; Mammalia; Primates; Hominidae. The record is from RNAcentral.